AUAACUAAGCGGAGGAAAAGAAACUAACCAGGAUUCCCCCAGUAACGGCGAGUGAAGCGGGAAGAGCUCACACUGUAAAUCCACGCUUGCGUGGAAUUGUAGUCCGAAGAGGCGUGGCCAGCCGUCGGCGGAGAACAAGUCCCUUGGAAAAGAGCAUCAUGGAGGGUGAUAAUCCCGUAUAUGUCCCCGCGCGACGUGCGUACGGCCCGCUUUCGACGAGUCGAGUUGCUUGGGAUUGCAGCUCAAAGUGGGUGGUAAAUUCCAUCUAAAGCUAAACACGAGUGGGAGACCGAUAGCGAACAAGUACCGUGAGGGAAAGAUGCAAAGAACUUUGAAAAGAGAGUUAAAGAGUGCCUGAAAUUGCUGAAAGGGAAGCGAAGGAAAUCAGUGUCUGGUGUUUUUGCUUCUCCGACGGUCUUCGGAUCGCCGGGCCGCGUUUGCGCCGUGGUCAGGGCCGGGUACUUUGAUGCGGGAUCCUUUGUCUUGGGAGGUACGUCUCUUCGGAGAGGGAAUGCCUAGAUGUGACGUCGCGUUUGUGGCCGGCCCUGACGAAAUGGUUUUCUUUAC
This 567-nucleotide ribosomal RNA is filed under the name Notheia anomala. Its description in RNAcentral is "LSU rRNA". It matches the Rfam family "Eukaryotic large subunit ribosomal RNA", at positions 42 to 647 of the family's 3401-position model. Lineage: Eukaryota; Phaeophyceae; Fucales; Notheiaceae. The record is from RNAcentral.